Ameiurus melas (black bullhead) is the source of this 71-nucleotide non-coding RNA. The record is from the annotation of a GenBank genome assembly. Lineage: Eukaryota; Metazoa; Chordata; Actinopteri; Siluriformes; Ictaluridae.
GUGGGCAUGGUUUAGUGGUUAGAACGUUUGCCUUGUACUUACCGGGUUGGGGGGUUCGAUUCCCGUCUACG